RNAcentral lists this ribosomal RNA (542 nucleotides) under Staphylococcus aureus LysK 1 2011. RNAcentral describes it as "bacterial SSU rRNA". It matches the Rfam family "Bacterial small subunit ribosomal RNA", at positions 8 to 532 of the family's 1533-position model. The record is from RNAcentral. Lineage: Bacteria; Bacillati; Bacillota; Bacilli; Caryophanales; Staphylococcaceae.
AGAGUUUGAUCCUGGCUCAGGAUGAACGCUGGCGGCGUGCCUAAUACAUGCAAGUCGAGCGAACGGACGAGAAGCUUGCUUCUCUGAUGUUAGCGGCGGACGGGUGAGUAACACGUGGAUAACCUACCUAUAAGACUGGGAUAACUUCGGGAAACCGUAGCUAAUACCGGAUAAUAUUUUGAACCGCAUGGUUCAAAAGUGAAAGACGGUCUUGCUGUCACUUAUAGAUGGAUCCGCGCUGCAUUAGCUAGUUGGUAAGGUAACGGCUUACCAAGGCAACGAUGCAUAGCCGACCUGAGAGGGUGAUCGGCCACACUGGAACUGAGACACGGUCCAGACUCCUACGGGAGGCAGCAGUAGGGAAUCUUCCGCAAUGGGCGAAAGCCUGACGGAGCAACGCCGCGUGAGUGAUGAAGGUCUUCGGAUCGUAAAACUCUGUUAUUAGGGAAGAACAUAUGUGUAAGUAACUGUGCACAUCUUGACGGUACCUAAUCAGAAAGCCACGGCUAACUACGUGCCAGCAGCCGCGGUAAUACGUAGGU